AAUUUCAAGAUUCCUGAUGAACCAAAAUUUAGUUUUAUGGGAAGCACAGGAGUUACUCUACGUAUAAUCUCAGCCUUGCAAGCCAAACAGAUGAUGAUAAAGGGAUGAGAGGGUACUUAGCUAUAGUGAUUCAUACUCGACAGGAGGAAUCAAGACUAAAAGAUGUCCCUAUAGUGAAUAAAUUUUCAGAUGUAUUUCCUAAGGAUCUUUCGAGAUUGCCACC
This 223-nucleotide long non-coding RNA is filed under the name Elaeis guineensis (African oil palm). RNAcentral describes it as "long non-coding RNA (EGUI_LNC033055)". Lineage: Eukaryota; Viridiplantae; Streptophyta; Magnoliopsida; Arecales; Arecaceae. The record is from RNAcentral.